Molecule: long non-coding RNA, 380 nt
Organism: Homo sapiens (human)
Lineage: Eukaryota; Metazoa; Chordata; Mammalia; Primates; Hominidae
Exons: 3
Source: RefSeq, a predicted model, not a curated record
CCAGGAUUCAGUGUGGGCUCUGCUCAGAACUCAGAAAUCCAGUUAAAAGGACACAAUUGGAAACACUGGUUAUUUUACCAGUGUCUUGACUUGAAUGGGGUACUUUCAGAUACAGACUCCUUUAAGGAAUUAAAGUUAACUUAUACAGCCAAUAAAAGCCCCUGGGGAAAACUGGCAUAAUACCUUGUCUAGGCAGCCCUGUACAGACUCCUGACCUAUGGAUGUGAGACUUCACAACCUUCUAAAAAUGAGUUUUCCUAACAACAUGGGACCUACCCUUCUAGGAAUAAACCAUCCUAGCCAUGAGAAAUCAGAUGAAAACUGGGACCAGAGACUCUUUUUCUUCUAAAAUGCUUUUUCUGAAAGAUUUUAAAAAGAAA